This 328-nucleotide ribosomal RNA is filed under the name uncultured Chlorobiota bacterium. RNAcentral's name for it is "bacterial SSU rRNA". It matches the Rfam family "Bacterial small subunit ribosomal RNA", at positions 28 to 351 of the family's 1533-position model. Lineage: Bacteria; Pseudomonadati; Chlorobiota. The record is from RNAcentral.
GACGAACGCUGGCGGCGUGCCUAACACAUGCAAGUCUUGGGAGAAAGAGGUAGCAAUAUCUUGAGUAAACCGGCGCAAGGGUGAGUAACACGUAGGUAAUCUACCCAGAGGACGAGAAUAACUUCGAGAAAUCGAGGCUAAUGCUCGAUGAUUUUCCGAUAUAGCAUUAUAUUAGAAUUAAAUACCGCAAGGUGCCUUUGGAUGAACCUGCGUCCCAUUAGGUAGUUGGUGAGGUAACGGCCCACCAAGCCGACGAUUGGUAGCUGGUCUGAGAGGACGAUCAGCCACACUGGAACUGAGACACGGUCCAGACUCCUACGGGAGGCAG